AGCAGACAUGUUAUCUUCUAACAAACAAGGUGUUGUCACCAAUAUUCAGGUGAUAAACAAGGAGCAGAGUCUCAAUGGUACAAGUAAGUUGUCCAACAAGCAUGGAGUUGGCACUGAUAUUGAGAUGGGAAACAUGGGGACUCGCCACAAAACAGACAUGUUGUCUUCCCACAGAGGAGGUGUUGCCACCGAUACUCAGGUGAUAAACAAGGAGAAGAGUCUCAAUGGUACAGUCAAGUUAUCCAACAAGAAUGGAGUUGCCACUGAUAUUGAGAUGGCAAACAUGGAUACUCAC
This 295-nucleotide unclassified non-coding RNA is filed under the name Hevea brasiliensis (rubber tree). Lineage: Eukaryota; Viridiplantae; Streptophyta; Magnoliopsida; Malpighiales; Euphorbiaceae. The record is from RNAcentral.